This 72-nucleotide transfer RNA is filed under the name bacterium. Its description in RNAcentral is "tRNA-Ile". It matches the Rfam family "tRNA". Rfam says of the family: Transfer RNA (tRNA) molecules are approximately 80 nucleotides in length. The record is from RNAcentral.
GCGUCUGUAACUCAGCGGUAGAGUGCCACUCUUAUAAAGUGGAAGCCCUUGGUCCGAAUCCAAGCAGACGCA